RNAcentral lists this ribosomal RNA (253 nucleotides) under uncultured bacterium. RNAcentral's name for it is "partial 16S ribosomal RNA". It matches the Rfam family "Bacterial small subunit ribosomal RNA", at positions 524 to 776 of the family's 1533-position model. The record is from RNAcentral.
AACGUAGGAGGCGAGCGUUAUCCGGAGUUACUGGGCGUAAAGCGCGUGUAGGUGGUUGGAUACGUCUGCUGUGAAAUGUCCCGGCUUAACCGGGAGGGUGCGGCAGAUACGGUCUGACUUGAGGGCGACAGAGGAGCGUAGAAUUCCAGGUGUAGCGGUGAAAUGCGUAGAUAUCUGGAGGAACACCGGUGGCGAAGGCGGCAUCCUGGACCGGCAUUGACGCUGAGGCGCGAAAGCCAGGGGAGCAAACGGG